AAGUGACAAGUGCGUCAAGUGCUGACAGGGCCACCUGAAUAUUAAAAAAUUAGGGUAAUCAAACGGAAGUGGUCGUAUGCGCUGUUCGACGAACGAUGCGACAGAUCGGCGGAGCGGUAGGGUAAAGCAUGUGUUGCACAAGCGUAACAUUCCCUCUUGCAAGUGUCAUGAGUAUCCAGUGGGAAUUGUAGAACCAGUCUCGCCAUUACUUUCCACAGUGUUCGUAGUACAGGAUGCGUCAGAUACGAAGACAAUUUGAGUGGAGGGCAUGUCGCGCGUGAAUAUUUUGUCCGGUGAAUGCCAAAUUUCUGUGCGGAAUUUUGAGUGGACGGGCCGUAGUUGGUGCUAUUUGUGCACUUCUGCUUCGUCGACUCAGAGGUUUGAGUGAAUGUGCCGUGAUUAUCCGUGAAGCAGAGGUUGUGCUCAAAGGUUUGUGGACUAUCAGCGGCGUUUAACAUUCGAUGAAUGUCGAUCCCUCACAAAAUCGAACUUCGAAGUUGGAUUUGGCUGCUAUCACACUUGUCCAACACUAGUCUCAAGGCUGAAGUUCACGAAGGUUGAGCCUUCUUCAUGAGCAGAUCAGUGCAAGAAAUUACAAUUCAAGGACUAGUAUUUGAUAUUGGUAGUAUUAUCAUCUCCCCAGAGCUUAGAAAAUGACCCAAGGCAGGUUUCUUGAGUAGGAGACAAUGCUAUUGACAACGAUGCAAGUGGACCAUUGAACAUGGUUGAGGAUAGCUAGAUAUAAUAGAAUUCUCAGAACUCCAAUUCUUAGCCAGACUUGAGGAUGUUUCGGACACAAGCAGAAGUCACCUUGCUGACCUUACUGAGUGAAUUCUGCGCAAGCAAAUUUUCUGUUCAAGUAAUAGAUACAUCUGUGAAUGUGCUGUUCUUCUGUUUCA
Long non-coding RNA from Physcomitrium patens, 899 nucleotides. RefSeq lists it as uncharacterized. NCBI's taxonomy places the organism in Eukaryota, Viridiplantae, Streptophyta, Bryopsida, Funariales, Funariaceae. The record is from RefSeq and is a predicted model, not a curated record.